This 432-nucleotide long non-coding RNA is filed under the name Chrysemys picta bellii (western painted turtle). RNAcentral describes it as "lncRNA (ENSCPBG00000012974.1)". Lineage: Eukaryota; Metazoa; Chordata; Testudines; Emydidae. The record is from RNAcentral.
AUGCAAGGAUCAGUAAAGAAACAAGACGUAUGCACAGUUUUUGCAGGUAAAGGGAGAUGUUUAUUGUGCAAUAAUAUGUUUGAUAGCUCAUUAAAUAAUCAUUUUUUUCCAGUUUUACCUCUAUGCAUUUUGUGGAAAGCUGCAUCUGCUAUAUGCUCCCUCUUGGCAGCCUGGCACCCUGAAGAGUUGAAAUGCCAUCAUGUGGCUUUUGACAGACUACAUUUUUUUCUUGUAUGAACGUAUGAUGUGCACUCAAGAAAAUUCAAAGUUAACAAGACUCAUACUGCAGUUUAGAAGAAAGAAAACAAGUUGCAUUAAAUGACAUUUUCCUGUUUUAAGAGAACUGGAUGAUCAAUUAGCAUCUGUUUACUGAAAAGCUUAAUUUGCAAUAAUAAUAAUAAAUCAUGUUUGGGAUGACUAUUGUAAGAGUUC